UAAGCCCCAAAUCGAAUUAGUCCAAACCCUAAGCCCCAAAUCGAUCUCGUCCGAACCUUAAGCCCCAAAUCGAAUUAGUCCAAACCCUAAGCCCCAAAUCGAUCUCGUCCGAACCCUAAGCCCCAAAUUGAUCUCGUCCGAACCCUAAACCCCAAAUCGAAUUCGUUCGAACCCUAAGCCCCAAAUCGAUCUCAUCCGAACCCUAAACCCCAAAUCAAUUUCAUCCGAACCCUAAGCCCCAAAUCAAAUUUGAUGAUCUGCAGUUAUCUUGCGAUUUGGGUCCUCAUCAACCUCG
RNAcentral lists this long non-coding RNA (295 nucleotides) under Eucalyptus grandis. RNAcentral describes it as "long non-coding RNA (EGRA_LNC002382)". Lineage: Eukaryota; Viridiplantae; Streptophyta; Magnoliopsida; Myrtales; Myrtaceae. The record is from RNAcentral.